GUGCAGCAGUCGAGAAACUUCACAAUGUGCGAAAGCACGAUGAGGGAAUCCCAAGUGCUUGCUCGUAAGAGUAAGCUGUUUCUCUGUCUAAAACGCAGAGAGAGUAAGGGCUGGGUAAGACGGGUGCCAGCCGCCGCGGUAAUACCUGCAGCUCGAGUGGUGGCCGCUAUUAUUGGGGCCUAAAACGUCCGUAGCCGGUUUAUUAAAUGCCUGGGUAAAUCGGACCGCUUAACGGUUCGAAUUCCGGGUAGACUGAUAAACUUGAGACCGGGAGAAGCUAGAGGUACUCCUGGGGUAGAGGUGAAAUUCUGUAAUCCUAGGGGGACCACCAGUGGCGAAGGCGUCUAGCUAGAACGGGUCUGACGGUGAGGGACGAAGCCCUGGGGCGC
This 389-nucleotide ribosomal RNA is filed under the name uncultured microorganism. RNAcentral's name for it is "bacterial SSU rRNA". It matches the Rfam family "Archaeal small subunit ribosomal RNA", at positions 330 to 720 of the family's 1478-position model. The record is from RNAcentral.